Molecule: long non-coding RNA, 218 nt
Filed under: Olea europaea (common olive)
Lineage: Eukaryota; Viridiplantae; Streptophyta; Magnoliopsida; Lamiales; Oleaceae
Description: long non-coding RNA (OEUR_LNC015491)
Source: RNAcentral
AGAUUGUGCGUUCCAUCCAAGACUUGUUCGCUUCCUGGAGGCAAGUCAAGACAUCUCGCCCUGCUCCAGUUGGUCGUCCUGCUACUUCUUCAGAGGAAGAUAUGAAGUUCCUCAAGCAGUCGAUAUUUGAGUACGUGUCCUUCAUGGAUAUGGACAUUGGAAAGGCUAGUGCUGCCAGACAUAAGGAUAAACUUGAGCAUUUGAAUGCGAAGUUGGAG